Molecule: unclassified non-coding RNA, 317 nt
Filed under: Hevea brasiliensis (rubber tree)
Lineage: Eukaryota; Viridiplantae; Streptophyta; Magnoliopsida; Malpighiales; Euphorbiaceae
Source: RNAcentral
GUACACAGAAGAAGAAGAAAAGGUGGAGAAAUUGAUAGAACUAUCUAAACAGCCUGAUAUCUAUGAAAGGCUGACCAGGUCCUUGGCACCAAACAUAUGGGAGUUGGAUGAUGUUAAGAAAGGCCUUCUUUGCCAGCUCUUUGGUGGAAAUGCAUUGACCUUGCCGUCUGGAGCAAGCUUCCGUGGUGAUAUCAACAUUCUUCUUGUUGGUGAUCCGGGGACCAGCAAAUCACAACUGCUCCAGUAUAUUCACAAACUGUCUCCUCGUGGUAUAUACACAAGUGGACGAGGAAGUUCAGCUGUGGGGUUGACUGCUU